CUAGUUUAGAGUUUGGAGCAUUUGACUUUUGCGUAUCAUAUUCUGUAUCAUAGCCUCCAUCAUGUUCUGUAUCAUGCUCUGCAUCAUGCUGCUCCCUUGGAAGGUCGGCUCCUCGACCGUAACUUUCACUCAACUUGUGCUCUGCUUGUGUCAGUACAUGAUAGCUUGAUACCAGUUCCUUGUAUUGCUGCUGCAGUUGUGCAAAUUGCAAUAUGCAGGGCUUCCUAGUCCGAAUUUCUAAUGACAACUAAUUCAGAGUUUCAGACUGAAUCUCCAUUUGCCUCUGAUCUGAGCAUGUGAUUGACAAAAUGUACCUUUUCAUAAUUUUAGUGUUACUCUGAAAGUUUGAACCUGUUUGAAUCACAACUUUACUUUGUCUUCAUUACUCAGGGACUUUGAAACUUCUCUUGUUAUUUAGCCUCAUAUACUGGAUGCUACUCAUUUACUGUUCAAGCCUAAUUACCCAACCGAUGUUAUAGUAUAGGGCUCAUGUCGAUGCUGUAGUAUAGGCAUGUUAGCUGUCUAUAUGUAAUCUAACUUGCAUAGUGUGUGUGUAUGGCAUGCAGGGAGGUGGUGAUCUGGUGAACAAUAUAUCCCU
RNAcentral lists this long non-coding RNA (598 nucleotides) under Triticum aestivum (bread wheat). Its description in RNAcentral is "long non-coding RNA (TAES_LNC001116)". The record is from RNAcentral. Lineage: Eukaryota; Viridiplantae; Streptophyta; Magnoliopsida; Poales; Poaceae.